GCAUUGGUGGUUCAGUGGUAGAAUUCUCACCUGCCAUGCGGGAGACCCAGGUUCGAUUCCCGGCUAAUGCA
Molecule: transfer RNA, 71 nt
Filed under: Danio rerio (zebrafish)
Lineage: Eukaryota; Metazoa; Chordata; Actinopteri; Cypriniformes; Danionidae
Description: tRNA-Gly (GCC) (tRNA-Gly-GCC-116-1)
Rfam family: tRNA
About the family: Transfer RNA (tRNA) molecules are approximately 80 nucleotides in length. Their secondary structure includes four short double-helical elements and three loops (D, anti-codon, and T loops).
Source: Rfam by way of RNAcentral